GACGAACGCUGGCGGCGUGCAUAACACAUGCAAGUCACGGGGGCCAGCAAUGGCAACCGGCGAACGGGUGCGUAACACGUAAGCGACCUACCUCGAUGUGGGGCAUAGCCGGCCUAACGGCCGGGUAAUUCCGCAUGUGAUCCUUGAGGGGCAUAUCUCGGGGAUGAAACCAGUAAUGGGCAUUGAGAGGGGCUUGCGGCCUAUCAGCUUGUUGGCGGGGUAACGGCNCACCAAGGCGACGACGGGUAGCUGGUCUGAGAGGAUGGCCAGCCACAUUGGGACUGAGAAACGGCCCAGACUCCUACGGGAGGCAGCAGGUGGGGAAUCUUGCGCAAUGGCCUAACGGCUGACGCAGCGACGCCGCGUGGAGGAU
This 373-nucleotide ribosomal RNA is filed under the name uncultured bacterium. RNAcentral describes it as "bacterial SSU rRNA". It matches the Rfam family "Bacterial small subunit ribosomal RNA", at positions 28 to 409 of the family's 1533-position model. The record is from RNAcentral.